CCCGCUCCUCGCCCAAGCGUCUGCGCUGCGCCCGCGUCCCAGCCAUGGCAAGAAACCACCAAGUGCAGAAGGCCAAGCUGGCCGAGCAGGCUGAGCGCUACGAGGACAUGGCGGACUUCAUGAAGGCGGUGGUGGAACACGGGGACGAGUUGUCCAACGAGGAACGCAACCUCCUCUCCGUCGCCUACAAGAACGUGGUGGGGUGCCAGCGCUCGGCGUGGAGGGUCAUCUCCAGCAUCGAGCACAAAACCGAAGAGGGGGACGACAAAGCGCAGCUGGUGAACGAGUACCGGGAGAAGGUGGAAAGGGAGCUGAACUGCGUCUGCAAGAACGUCCUGGCCUUGCUGGACAAGUAUCUCAUCAAGAAGGCGAGCGAUCCUGAGA
Molecule: RNA transcript, 384 nt
Organism: Phaethon lepturus (White-tailed tropicbird)
Lineage: Eukaryota; Metazoa; Chordata; Aves; Phaethontiformes; Phaethontidae
Gene name: 14-3-3 protein theta pseudogene
Exons: 1
Source: RefSeq, a predicted model, not a curated record